Molecule: long non-coding RNA, 2022 nt
Organism: Dicentrarchus labrax (European seabass)
Lineage: Eukaryota; Metazoa; Chordata; Actinopteri; Moronidae
Exons: 3
Source: RefSeq, a predicted model, not a curated record
CCACUGCAGCUCAAAGAUGUAGAAGCAGAUCAGAUACUCCAGAUCCAUCAGAACAAACACCAGCGAGUUGAGCUGAUCAGCCAGCCAGAAGUCUGCAAACUCCACCCGGUGAAACGGUGCGGUGAACACGCGAAACUGGAAAAAGGAAGGUUGUUGCUCGGGACCAAUCAAGACUGAGGCUGAUUACUAUCAGCGGAGGAGGGCUGAGGGAGCGUUGCUAAGGACUGUGGGGAGCUGUGAAGGGAAGGACAAGAAUAUGAGGAGGGGGUCUGCUGCUGGGGGAGAGGCAGGCGGGCAGGCAGGGAGGAGGGCUGAAGAACGAGGAGGAGGAGGAAGACACGGAAGAGGAGGAGGGACAGAGGAGCUCUGGGCAUCAGCAUACUGAUAGAUCUAUGCCUGUAAUGAUUGCACAGUCACAACCUCCACCUCCCCUGGGACGAGGCUGCAUUCUAUUAUCCCUCAACCCUCUGCCCUCUGUUUCACUACAGCCCCCUACACACACACACACACACACACACACACACACACACACACACACACACACACACACACACACACACACACACACACACACACACACACACACACACACACACCCUCUCUCCUGCAGCCCUGUAGCUUGGCUUAGACAAAGAACAGAGUAACAUAGGAGGGUUUUGUAAACAUGAGACUUGAGAUAGAUAUCUGAAUUGUACAUGCACCCAUUGUGUGAGAUUAGGAUGCACACACACACACACACACACACAACCAACCACACACACUCACACACAACCAACCACACACACUCACACACAACCACACACACACCGCACACACACACACACACACACACACACACACACACACACACACACACACACACACACACAGAGCAUAUUUAAAUUGUCAGCAGCACAAUACAAUACAAAAUACACAGCUGUAAAAAAAAUAAUAGUUCACACAAACACAUUUAUAAUAGUUUUCUUUCGUGUCAGUGACCCACAUAUUAAGGACAAUGCAGUCAAAACAAAUCUCUAGCCCCUCAAACUUAAGCAAACUAUGAUUUUUUGUUAAGCACAAAUAUGUUAUAUUAAAUACGUUUUCUGUCUAUUUUGGGGGUUUAAAGUCUGAAAAAUGAUUUUAGUUAGGGUUAGAGUAAAAUAGCUUAUUAAGGUUUGGGUAAACAUUUGGUUUGGUUGUUUUACCCAAAAACAAAUGACUGGUUGAGUUCACGUGUAUAAAAAUAACCACCGCUCUCUUUAAUAUGAAUACCUACAAAUUUCACAUUAAACCUGGCUUUUGCACAUGAAUUUCUUCCAUGUUAAUUCUACAUUCAGCCCUCUCAAAUUGUCUCAUCUUGUUUGCAUUUGGUUCAUUUUGCUAUGGCAGUUUCCUAAUGCAUUACUUACUGCUGGUUCACAGCUGUCAACAUUUGUCUUUGUGUAUCCAUGAACUUUGACUGUUGGGCUCAUUUAUCCAGUUCGACAUUCUUCUUACAAAACACACAGCGGUUAGACACAUUUUCAGAGAGAGUAUGAUUGGUGGCACCGAAGUUCAAAUGGCAUCAUUGUAAUUCUUUCAAACUAAAGCCGCAGCUGUGUAAAAUAAAUGCUCCAAUAAAUAAGUGAGUGUACUGACCAGAAGCUUGAGAAGCCAGAAACGUGAUUUGUAGUAGCAGGUCUUGAAGGGGUUGAGGAGGAAGAGCACCAUGAAGCCAUAGAGGAUGAGCGGGUUGAUCUGCAUGGGGAUGUAGGUGUACUCUGAGUAGAGACAGGAGAGGAUGCUGAGACACCACAACACACCCAGGAAACCAGCAAUCUGCAGCACACAGAGGAGAAACAGAAGAAACUGGCAUUAAAAGAAAGCACUUCUGACACAUAACCACAAUUAACAAGGUGUUGGUGUGAGAGGUUGUUUCGGGGGUUGAUCUCAAAGAUGAGGACAUGGUUGACUCCGGCCUGUCUCCAUCCGUAUGUGUUGAUGCCCAACAGGAAGAGGAACUGGAUCAACAGGAAACCGCCCCGAUAGAUCCGCACCAGUGGC